UCUGCGUGAAGAUCAUAAGAAAUAUUAAUGAAAUGAGUAAAAACAAUUAGGGGAGUCCUGGAGAUGUCUCCCUUUUCUUAUGGGAGUGUUUGCCAGCGACUGGCGUUGCCUGUACACCCAGACAGCGGCGAUUUGCUCGCCGGAGAAACACAAUCAGCAGCGAAGGAUUGAGAAGGAGCCGAUGGAGCUAGGGCUCGACCUCUGCGGUCUGUGUGUGAGGGAGAAUCUUCGUCGAUGAGAGAUUCGGAAUCAGUCGAGGCGGAGGAACCUUCCUUCAAAGGCACCGAGACAGCAGCUGCGGCUUGGCCGGAUUUCAGAGAUGACGGCGGCGACUUGAAG
Molecule: long non-coding RNA, 339 nt
Filed under: Salvia miltiorrhiza (redroot sage)
Lineage: Eukaryota; Viridiplantae; Streptophyta; Magnoliopsida; Lamiales; Lamiaceae
Description: long non-coding RNA (SMIL_LNC010978)
Source: RNAcentral